RNAcentral lists this ribosomal RNA (979 nucleotides) under Acinetobacter sp. NF407. RNAcentral's name for it is "bacterial SSU rRNA". It matches the Rfam family "Bacterial small subunit ribosomal RNA", at positions 57 to 1028 of the family's 1533-position model. Lineage: Bacteria; Pseudomonadati; Pseudomonadota; Gammaproteobacteria; Moraxellales; Moraxellaceae. The record is from RNAcentral.
GCAAGUCGAGCGGGCGAGGUUGCUUCGGUAACUGAGCUAGCGGCGGACGGGUGAGUAAAGCUUAGGAAUCUGCCUAUUAGUGGGGGACAACAUUCCGAAAGGGAUGCUAAUACCGCAUACGUCCUACGGGAGAAAGCAGGGGAUCACUUGUGACCUUGCGCUAAUAGAUGAGCCUAAGUCGGAUUAGCUAGUUGGUGGGGUAAAGGCCUACCAAGGCGACGAUCUGUAGCGGGUCUGAGAGGAUGAUCCGCCACACUGGGACUGAGACACGGCCCAGACUCCUACGGGAGGCAGCAGUGGGGAAUAUUGGACAAUGGGGGGAACCCUGAUCCAGCCAUGCCGCGUGUGUGAAGAAGGCCUUUUGGUUGUAAAGCACUUUAAGCGAGGAGGAGGCUUACCUGGUUAAUACCUGGGAUAAGUGGACGUUACUCGCAGAAUAAGCACCGGCUAACUCUGUGCCAGCAGCCGCGGUAAUACAGAGGGUGCGAGCGUUAAUCGGAUUUACUGGGCGUAAAGCGCGCGUAGGUGGUUAAUUAAGUCAAAUGUGAAAUCCCCGAGCUUAACUUGGGAAUUGCAUUCGAUACUGGUUAGCUAGAGUAUGGGAGAGGAUGGUAGAAUUCCAGGUGUAGCGGUGAAAUGCGUAGAGAUCUGGAGGAAUACCGAUGGCGAAGGCAGCCAUCUGGCCUAAUACUGACACUGAGGUGCGAAAGCAUGGGGAGCAAACAGGAUUAGAUACCCUGGUAGUCCAUGCCGUAAACGAUGUCUACUAGCCGUUGGGGGAUUUGAUCCUUUAGUGGCGCAGCUAACGCGAUAAGUAGACCGCCUGGGGAGUACGGUCGCAAGACUAAAACUCAAAUGAAUUGACGGGGGCCCGCACAAGCGGUGGAGCAUGUGGUUUAAUUCGAUGCAACGCGAAGAACCUUACCUGGCCUUGACAUAGUAGAGACUUUCCAGAGAUGGAUUGGUGCCUUCGGGAAUC